RNAcentral lists this ribosomal RNA (253 nucleotides) under uncultured bacterium. RNAcentral describes it as "partial 16S ribosomal RNA". It matches the Rfam family "Bacterial small subunit ribosomal RNA", at positions 524 to 776 of the family's 1533-position model. The record is from RNAcentral.
UACGUAGGGAGCAAGCGUUGUCCGGAAUCAUUGGGCGUAAAGCGCGCGUAGGUGGCCAUUUAAGUCCGCUGUGAAAGUCAAAGGCUCAACCUUUGAAAGCCGGUGGAUACUGGGUGGCUAGAGUACGGAAGAGGCGAGUGGAAUUCCUGGUGUAGUGGUGGAAUGCGCAGAUAUCAGGAGGAACACCAAUAGCGAAGGCAGCUCGCUGGGACGUUACUGACACUGAGGCGCGAAAGCGUGGGGAGCGAACAGG